UGGGGAAUAUUGGACAAUGGGCGGAAGCCUGAUCCAGCAACGCCGCGUGAGGGAUGACGGCCUUCGGGUUGUAAACCUCUUUCGCCUGUGACGAAGCUGUCCCUUUUUGGGGGUGGUGACGGUAGCGGGAAAAGAAGGACCGGCCAACUACGUGCCAGCAGCCGCGGUAAUACGUAGGGUCCGAGCGUUGUCCGGAAUUAUUGGGCGUAAAGGGCUCGUAGGCGGUUUGUCGCGUCGGGAGUGAAAACCCCAGGCUUAACUUGGGGCGUGCUUUCGAUACGGGCAGACUUGAGGUAUGCAGGGGAGAACGGAAUUCCUGGUGUAGCGGUGAAAUGCGCAGAUAUCAGGAGGAACACCGGUGGCGAAGGCGGUUCUCUGGGCAUGACCUGACGCUGAGGAGCGAAAGUGUGGGGAGCGAACA
Molecule: ribosomal RNA, 421 nt
Filed under: uncultured Nocardioides sp.
Lineage: Bacteria; Bacillati; Actinomycetota; Actinomycetes; Propionibacteriales; Nocardioidaceae
Description: bacterial SSU rRNA
Rfam family: Bacterial small subunit ribosomal RNA
Source: RNAcentral